AGAGGACUGGAAUGGUGUGUGGAUACUAACCUUGACUGGUCGCAAAUGGUAUCUGGAGCCUCCUGGUAAGUGUAGAGAGUCUGUCUUAAAUGUUGUCUUUGAGGAAGAAUCCUGGGGGUUUAAGACAGAUGUUUGAUGUGUUAAUACGUAUCGUGAUGUCGUAUGAAUAGUAUAGGGAGAAGGUUUGUAAGGGGCACGACGUGAGAUCCUGCAUUGAGGGAUCUGGGAGGUUUAGG
Molecule: non-coding RNA, 236 nt
Organism: Pelobates cultripes (western spadefoot toad)
Lineage: Eukaryota; Metazoa; Chordata; Amphibia; Anura; Pelobatidae
Source: the annotation of a GenBank genome assembly